Molecule: ribosomal RNA, 513 nt
Filed under: uncultured bacterium
Lineage: Bacteria
Description: partial 16S ribosomal RNA
Rfam family: Bacterial small subunit ribosomal RNA
Source: RNAcentral
GACGAACGCUGGCGGCGUGCUUAACACAUGCAAGUCGAACGAAAAGAGGGAAAGAGCUUGCUCUUUCCGGAAUUGAGUGGCAAACGGGUGAGUAACACGUAAACAACCUGCCUUCAGGAUGGGGACAACAGACGGAAACGACUGCUAAUACCGAAUAAGUUCCAAGAGCCGCAUGGCCCAUGGAAGAAAAGGUGGCCUCUACCUGUAAGCUAUCGCCUGAAGAGGGGUUUGCGUCUGAUUAGCUGGUUGGAGGGGUAACGGCCCACCAAGGCGACGAUCAGUAGCCGGUCUGAGAGGAUGAACGACCACACUGGAACUGAGACACGGUCCAGACUCCUACGGGAGGCAGCAGUGGGGAAUCUUCCGCAAUGGGCGAAAGCCUGACGGAGCAACGCCGCGUGAGUGAUGACGGCCUUCGGGUUGUAAAACUCUGUGAUCCGGGACGAAAAGGCAGAGUGCGAAGAACAAACUGCAUUGACGGUACCGGAAAAGCAAGCCACGGCUAACUACGUG